GACGAACGCUGGCGGCGUGCUUAACACAUGCAAGUCGAACGGUAAGGCCCCACUUUGCUGGGGUACACGAGUGGCGAACGGGUGAGUAACACGUGGGUGACCUGCCCCGUACUUCGGGAUAACCCGGGGAAACUGGUACUAAUACCGGAUAGGUGCGCACGGUGGGGGGGGGGUGUCGAACUUUUCGGUGUGGGAUGGGCCCGCGGCUGAUUAGCUGGUUGGUGGGGUAAUGGCCUACCAAGGCGGCGACGGGUAGCCGGCCUGAGAGGGUGGACGGCCACAUUGGGACUGAGGCACGGCCCAGACUCCUACGGGAGGCAGCAGUGGAGAAUAUUGCACAGUGGGCGGAAGCCUGAUGCAGCGACGCCGCGUGGGGGAUGACGGCCUUCGGGUUGUAAACUCCUUUCACCAUCGACGAAGGUUUUCUGACGGUAGAUGGAGAAGAAGCACCGGCUAACUACGUG
Molecule: ribosomal RNA, 464 nt
Filed under: uncultured bacterium
Lineage: Bacteria
Description: partial 16S ribosomal RNA
Rfam family: Bacterial small subunit ribosomal RNA
Source: RNAcentral